CGGCGGAGCUCCUGCCGCCGCCGCAGCCGCUGCCGCCGCAGCGAAGAGGCCAUGUUGUGUGGUGUGUGGGGCGGGGGGAGGAGGAGGAGGGAGUAAAGCCUAGAGAGGAGACGGGAGAGACACCACACACACGGCACAAGAUGGCCGGAGAGGCAGCAGCACCUCGAGCUGUCAGGCGUUCCGCUGCGGCCGCGGGGCCCACCAGGCGGCGGGGAGCUACGCCCGGACGGCCCGCAGGCCCGUGGGAGUGGGGCGGCCGCGGCUGAGGCGAGGCGGGCUGCGCGCGUCGGCGUCAGAGCCCGCGGCAGAGGCUCCCAGGGCGGCCGGGCCCACGACGCCGAAAGCGCCGCUGCGGUUGCCGCCUCGGAGGCUUCCCCGGGCCCCGGCGGCUGGACCCGGCGCGGGCGGGAGGCUCGGGCGGGCGGUCCGGCCCGGGACUCGGACUUGGGCGACCAGGAGGUGCCGGCUGCCGCGCUCGGACCCGGUUCUCCAACGGAGGAGCUUUUUAACCUCUUUCCGGUGAGGUGGGAACUCAUCUUCAUGAUCGAAUUUAAAAGAACAAUGGAACCCUGACUACGUUUCAACAAAAAUAAAACUUGUUUUUUUCCCUCCUAUUGGGUGUUG
Molecule: long non-coding RNA, 624 nt
Filed under: Theropithecus gelada (gelada)
Lineage: Eukaryota; Metazoa; Chordata; Mammalia; Primates; Cercopithecidae
Description: lncRNA (ENSTGEG00000010085.1)
Source: RNAcentral